UGAGUGGCGAACGGGUGAGUAACACGUGGACAACCUGCCUCAAGGCUGGGGAUAACAUUUGGAAACAGAUGCUAAUACCGAAUAAAACUUAGUGUCGCAUGACAAAAAGUUAAAAGGCGCUUCGGCGUCACCUAGAGAUGGAUCCGCGGUGCAUUAGUUAGUUGGUGGGGUAAAGGCCUACCAAGACAAUGAUGCAUAGCCGAGUUGAGAGACUGAUCGGCCACAUUGGGACUGAGACACGGCCCAAACUCCUACGGGAGGCUGCAGUAGGGAAUCUUCCACAAUGGGCGAAAGCCUGAUGGAGCAACGCCGCGUGUGUGAUGAAGGCUUUCGGGUCGUAAAGCACUGUUGUAUGGGAAGAACAGCUAGAAUAGGAAAUGAUUUUAGUUUGACGGUACCAUACCAGAAAGGGACGGCUAAAUACGUGCCAGCAGCCGCGGUAAUACGUAUGUCCCGAGCGUUAUCCGGAUUUAUUGGGCGUAAAGCGAGCGCAGACGGUUU
Molecule: ribosomal RNA, 501 nt
Filed under: Leuconostoc mesenteroides
Lineage: Bacteria; Bacillati; Bacillota; Bacilli; Lactobacillales; Lactobacillaceae
Description: bacterial SSU rRNA
Rfam family: Bacterial small subunit ribosomal RNA
Source: RNAcentral